UUACAUACCUAGACGGGGUCAAUGGGUGAUCAAGGGCGGGCUCAUGGCCUAGGUGCGUGGCUUUCAUUGCACAUACUGAAAGUGCACUCGCCUAACAUCUCUCCUCUGUUGAGAGACUGUACGUCUUAAUUUCUGGUAGCUGGGGCCUGGGCUCUGCCGCGGCCCCUC
Rhododendron vialii is the source of this 168-nucleotide small nuclear RNA. RefSeq annotates it as U1 spliceosomal RNA. The record is from RefSeq and is a predicted model, not a curated record. Lineage: Eukaryota; Viridiplantae; Streptophyta; Magnoliopsida; Ericales; Ericaceae. The transcript has a single exon.